RNAcentral lists this ribosomal RNA (497 nucleotides) under uncultured bacterium. RNAcentral's name for it is "partial 16S ribosomal RNA". It matches the Rfam family "Bacterial small subunit ribosomal RNA", at positions 28 to 507 of the family's 1533-position model. The record is from RNAcentral.
GAUGAACGCUGGCGGCGUGCCUAAUACAUGCAAGUCGAGCGAACAGACGAGGAGCUUGCUCCUCUGACGUUAGCGGCGGACGGGUGAGUAACACGUGGAUAACCUACCUAUAAGACUGGGAUAACUUCGGGAAACCGGAGCUAAUACCGGAUAAUAUAUUGAACCGCAUGGUUCAAUAGUUAAAUACGGUUUUGCUGUCACUUAUAGAUGGAUCCGCGCCGCAUUAGCUAGUUGGUAAGGUAACGGCUUACCAAGGCAACGAUGCGUAGCCGACCUGAGAGGGUGAUCGGCCACACUGGAACUGAGCCACGGUCCCGACUCCUACGGGAGGCAGCAGUAGGGAAUCUUACGCAAUGGGCGAAAGCCUGACGGAGCACCGCCGCGUGAGUGAUGAAGGUCUUCGGAUCGUAAAACUCUGUUAUUAGGGAAGAACAAAUGUGUAAGUAACUAUGCACGUCUUGACGGUACCUAAUCAGAAAGCCACGGCUAACUACGUG